CCUACGGGAGGCAGCAGUGGGGGAUAUUGCACAAUGGGGGGAACCCUGAUGCAGCGACGCCGCGUGGGUGAAGGAGUAUUUCGGUAUGUAAAGCCCUAUCGGCAGGGAAGAAAUUGGACGGUACCUGACUAAGAAGCCCCGGCUAACUACGUGCCAGCAGCCGCGGUAAUACGUAGGGGGCAAGCGUUAUCCGGAUUUACUGGGUGUAAAGGGAGCGUAGACGGCAGCGCAAGUCUGGAGUGAAAUCCCAUGGCUUAACCAUGGAACUGCUUUGGAAACUGUGCAGCUAGAGUGCAGGAGAGGUAAGCGGAAUUCCUAGUGUAGCGGUGAAAUGCGUAGAUAUUAGGAGGAACACCAGUGGCGAAGGCGGCCUGCUGGGCUUUAACUGACGCUGAGGCUCGAAAGCGUGGGGAGCAAACAGGAUUAGAUACCCCAGU
Molecule: ribosomal RNA, 437 nt
Filed under: uncultured bacterium
Lineage: Bacteria
Description: bacterial SSU rRNA
Rfam family: Bacterial small subunit ribosomal RNA
Source: RNAcentral